Molecule: non-coding RNA, 45 nt
Organism: Schistosoma margrebowiei
Lineage: Eukaryota; Metazoa; Platyhelminthes; Trematoda; Strigeidida; Schistosomatidae
Source: Rfam
AUCCCGUUGACGAGUCCCAAAUAGGACGAAACGCGCGUCCUGGAU